This 266-nucleotide long non-coding RNA is filed under the name Elaeis guineensis (African oil palm). Its description in RNAcentral is "long non-coding RNA (EGUI_LNC004586)". The record is from RNAcentral. Lineage: Eukaryota; Viridiplantae; Streptophyta; Magnoliopsida; Arecales; Arecaceae.
CUCCUAGAUGAAGUAUAGUCCUUGUCUUUUGUUUUUGGAUUGAAAGGGUUGGGAAAGUCUAACCCAGCAUAUUUAUUAAGUAGAAUAGUCCAAGUCACGUGGGUUAGGGUUGUAUAUUUCGUGUGGUAUGGAACGAUCGAUCUUCUUUUGCAUUGCCAAAUGUUGGAUCACAUUUUGCAUCGAUUUCAAAGCAUAAUAAAUCUCUUCUUUCAAUCUACAGUAUAAAGCACGAAAAUCACAUCAUGCUUUGCAAGCCAUGCAAAAUG